AGAGACGAUGGCGGUCUCAAUCUCAGCCAGGGCUCUAACAUCAUGCGUGUGGUUCUUGAAGGUCCUGGUUCUGACCCACUCCUUGUCUUGCUGCUGCUGCAGAGUAGGAGCAAUGAACUGGAACUGGAUCACAGUACCCUCUGACGUCCCCACCACCACGCUGCUCUCAUCCUGUCAAUCACACACAAACCAGUCUACAUGGAAGUUCCACUCUAGUCAAGCCUACGAAUUCACAUUAGUUGGGUCAAACAAAUCAUGUUCACCUGCAACAUAUGGAUUCAGACAAUCAAAGAGACAUCUACAUUCUCUUGCACCUCCUAAUAAACAGAGGGCAACAGUCUGGAAGGAGGGAUAAAAUAUUGGUAAAGGGCAAGUGUCCAUCACAUUGAACACCCUCUCACCUUGGAGACAGACAGUGCCAGCACAUCCCACUUGGUCACCAGGUGUGUUUUGACGAGCGUACCGGUGUGUCCAUCCCAGACUUGGACCUCCCCAGCAGAGUCACCGCUGAUGAUAGUACAGUCUGACAGGAAGACUACACUCCAGACUACAGUCUCCCGACUCUUAGAGCCUCCAAAGCCCCGGUCCACCAGGAGCCUCUGUACAGCACGACCUGAAACAACAAAGACUGGAGGUCAGGAUCAAAAAAGUCCAAAAUUGGAAACCUAUCAAAAAUGCACUGUGGUUCGCAUACUAACUGCCUGACAAUAUUUUCACAUGGCUGUUCCUAACUCACCUGUCGGGACAUCAAAGACACGGAUCAUGUCCAUCAUGCCAGCAGCAAUCUGUGUGCCAGAGGGGUGCCAGGAGAGGGAUAUGAUGCGACCUGAAAGACAGGAUUACACAGUUUAAGCUGCAUUAGAAGAGGUCAGUUGUCAAUACAGCUGCAACCCCAUUGACAGCAAGGAUGACAAAACAUAGCAAGAAAGGUUGUAAUGUAAGGAAGGAAAAAAUGUUUAGACAAGUGAAUCAAUACUCUGUUCCACUCACCUUUCUGUCUGUCCAGAUUGCGCUCAAACUGAAUGCUCUCUUCUAGUACCUCAAACAACUUCACUGUCCCAUCUUCACAUCCAAUCUAACAUGAUUAGAAAAAAAUACAUUAUUAAAUUCCAUCUAAAGUCAGCAUGAAAAACACAAAUUUCAAUAUGUUUGAAAGGACACUAUUACAGAGAUGUGACUGACUGCUAAGUGUGCCCCCUGAGAAUUGCUGGUGAUGGUCCAAAUGGGGCCCCCGUAUGCCUCCAGGGAGUACUUGGGUCUCAGGUUUUCCAGAUCAUAUUCUGUGAUCUCUCCAUUUAGGCCAGCACUGAACAGGCGUCCUCCAACCCAACACAGGGCCUCGAUUGACCGGGAGUCCUUCCCUGGAAUAACCUGCAGAUUCCAAAACAAGUGUUAAUUAAUGGCAAGUGUGACAACCAGCCGUGGGUGUAUUUCUGUCGACAAUGUUAAUCAACAAUAAGCAUCCACAAUGUCCUAAGGAGGGAGGUGUAAAGCCUUUUAAGUGUGCUAUAAUGUAGACUAAGGAUCAAGCAUAAUGUUUAUUUUCAUUCUGAAUAGGCUAUACAUGUAUAAAACGAGUUACUAACCUUUUCCUGGAAAUAGUGGUCUGCGAAGUUGAAAAUCUCCACACUCCCAUCCAUUCGUCCCAGGGCCAAUCUCUCUGUGUGUGCAUUGAAUGCCAUAGCUCUGAUGGCAGUUGGCAUGUAGUCGAAAAAUCGAACCCGGUGCACUUUAAACUCCCCCAUUGUCGCUAAUCUAAGAAAACAGUUAGAUGCUAAAAUUAAGAGGAUUAAGAGUUUUGCAUGGAAGUCAUUAUUGUUAUGCAGUUAGCUAGCCUCGUGCCGUUUGUUAACUACCGACUAAACUGUCAUAAUGUGAUGCAAGUCAUAAUUUGAAACAUGUAAGCAACAAAAUGGAUAUCUAGCAACUAAAAAAAAAUAGCACGCUAAUUAGUUGUCGUUAGUUAGCUAAAUAACUAGCUACGUUACUUGAACAGCUAACGUUACGUUAGCUAGCAUACAAUUUGGCUGGUAAGCUAGCUGCUCGUUUGACACUGAAAGAACACCGCUUGCCUAUGCGCAAAUCAUUAUAUUGUUGACAUGUAACAAUUUACAAUGCACAUACAAACAGUUAAAGAAAACGCGUACUUUUAUAGUCCCUUUCUUUAGUGUUUUCUUCACUUUUACCAAAAAUUAAUUCCUAUGUCCACACGUCGAAUUACAGUAGACACCACGUUGGACACCUUUGAACUGGAAACGAAAACCACUACAUGCAAGUGACGCGAAUGUGCGCCGGAUGAAGAUGUACCAUCUUCGUGGCGGGAAAAACAUGAAAACAAACAGGACUUUUUUAAUAUAUAUAUUUUUUUUAUUAACAACAAAUCAAUACAGAAGAGUGUUUCAGUUACCUUUCUGAGAGCAGCACAAUGGUUCAAAUUGUUAAAACUUCAAGUGUGGAUGGACCUGGUCCUACUGAGUGGCUGCUGGUUGAACUCCAGGGGUAAUGAUGUCCAGGCAGAACUCUGGAUUGGCUGGGAACCUGAUGGGAGAUCUGCUCUACACCAGAGGCACUUGACAACAUGGCACUAUAAUGCAGUGCUAGUACACUCUACUGUUACCUCUUUCCACUCAGAGAUGUUGUGUCUUGUCUUUACUGUGCUCACCUGUGUCCCCUCCCCAGGGUGUACCUGUGCUCAUUGUGGGACACCACAUCCUCUAUGGGAAGGUGGUCAAACUGGAGAAGCCCUUCGCUGUCCUGAUGAAACACUCUGGCCUCCCACAGGGGGAGAAGGUUCCCAUGGAAAUCAACCAGCAGAACCCCACCACCUACUCUAUUUCCGCCCUCAUCAAGAAGAAGCUCAUCUUCAAUACUCGCCCAAAGCCCAUCAUCACUAAUGUGCCCAAGAAACUAGUGAAGUGCUUGGUCAUAUGCAUUAUAGGGCUCACUGUCGCAAAACACUUUUAACUGGAAAAAAAUGGACAAGUUCAGAUAGUCCCUGUUGCAGUCUGUUUUCUUCCGUUUUGUGCCUAACGACCUUGACCCUGGUCACCUCUAUGGGAGCAAAGGACAUGCAGCACUCUUAAUGACGCCAGACCCACAAGUAUGGAGCACCCAUUGCAAGACUGUACUUGGGACACACUCCUCUGGCUUGAGGUUAUGGGACAUCUUUGUUUUGUUAUGACAGUGGUUUUACACUGCUGGAAUUUGCUUAACGCUGUGGUGUAUUAUUAAAAUAUCUUUAUUAUUGCACUUAUCAGAUGACAGGAUUUAGUAAUGUCUUGACAUGACAUUUGUACAGUGAUUACAUUCAGAUGGGGAAGAAAUCACCACAACAGUCGAAUGAGAAUCUUUUUUUUUUAUUCAGAUAAAAAAUACAUUUUUUUCAACUGCUGUACAAAUCGGAAAAAUAACUGUUUUGAUUUGAAAUACAAAACCUUUUUCCAUCAACAUUUCUUUCCUUCUAUAUUUAAACAUAAUGAAAUACAUAGGUGGUUACAAUACUUUAUUUUCAGCUAUUACAUACCAAUAAAAUGUGUAUUUUAUGUUUCAAUAGCCAUAUGCUGGUGCAUGAUUCUGAUUUUCUUUGUACCCUACUACUGUAUUAGAAAUGCUAUCUUGGUUUACUACUUUUACAUGACAGUUAUAACUGCCUGUUCUAAAUCUAUAUGAAGCAUCAUCCCUAAAUCAUAAUAGGGAUAAUGGUGAUAUGAGUGAUUUCUCGUCCAUGAAACUACAAAAAGACAAGUGUGGCAAUGUUGAACACUAGAGACCAAACUACACUGAAUAACAGAUCAUUGUGCUAACUACAUCACAUUGUAAAAAUAAUGUAAAACGCUAUUGUUUCAGGAAAUGUACAAAUCCAAUAGUUCCUUUUAAAUAUAGGUCUAUUCUUAAACCCAUAAUUCUUGUACAUCUUCAAAAUAUCUUUGAAUAUAUACAAUACACAAAAUAUAUUACUUUGCAAUAUACUGUGAAACAUUGCCUUUAUGUAACAUUGAAUGUUGUAUGAGCUGAGAUACCAUGGUUUGUUCGAUAGGCUCAACAGUUGUUCUGCGGCAUUGAGACACCUUAGAAAAGUCUGGCAUAGAUUUUCAGUCACAGACGUAUUGAAUAGUUACAUAAUUAUAUUCAAAACAAUUAUAAGACUGGGUUUUUUUCAUGUCAGAUAUGCUUACAUCAUAUGGCUGGACAUCUACAGUCACUCAGCAUUAUGAGACCGAUUGAUUUGUUGUCAAACAGUGGCAGGUUGUAUCAAGGAAAUCAACAAAUUGCUGACAAUAUUGUAGACUGAAAGCAGAUGUUCAGCCUGAUAGAUAGGCUAUAACAAAGAUUGUAUUUGACAUCUCCACACAAACAAAUGUCAGACAACACUGUCACAGUCGUCUCUAUGGUGUCCUUGCCUCUCAUUUCUUCACAUAAUCCAAAUAUGUCAAAAUCAGAAGAAUCAAAAUCACCUUUAUUCGCCAAAUAAAUGUACACAUACUCAUAAUUUUAAUUUUACUGAUAUGGUGCUGUUAGUUUACACACAUCAUACAUGUGCAUAGAGAGUCUUAUUACACACCUGACACCUGGGUGUAUGUCACCUGACAUACACCCUCAGGAGUAGAAAGGGAAAGGUAGGCCACAUCUACAUGUUAAGACAGAUGAAUAAUAGAGAUUAGUUUGUCUGUACACAAUUCGAAACACUAAGUUCAGUGUUCCAGCAUUCAGGACUUAUUCCUUAAAGAGGACCAAAGGGGUUGCAAGCAUCCCUAGCCUCCUAGUGGCUGUUUAUGUGUGUGUUUAUGGGAAUGGGGGAGGUCCCUUCUUGGCAUGCACAUAUAAGUGUAACCAUAGAUGUCCACCAUUUUUGCUCCAUGUUUGCUGAAUGAACCAAUUCCUCCAGCCACACAGUACAACAUUUCCCCCUCUGUGCCUGGCCACCCCACCCCACACACAAUCUCUCUGGCUGGCUGGCGUCUCUUAAUGGCCUUGUUACUCUAACAUGUUUUCCAAUGUACUGCCUAAAACCAACCCCAUUAAUGACCACAAGUAACUGAAUGAAACACUUGUGUAAAUGAGGGAUGCAAAGUAUAUUGAAAGCAGGUGCUUCCACGCAGGUGUGGUUCCUGAGUUAAUUAACAAUUAACAUCCCAUCAUGCUUAGGGCCAUCAUGCAGGGCAGGCUAAUAUUUUGGCUACCAUCAGUGGUGUAAAGUACUUAAGAAGGAAAGGAAAAUAGUCCAAUUCAUUCAAUAAUCAAGAGAACAUCGCUGGUCAUCCCUACUGCCUCUGAUCUGGCGGACUCAUUAAACACACGUUUCCUUUGUAAAUUAUGUCUACAUGUUGG
Oncorhynchus gorbuscha (pink salmon) is the source of this 5328-nucleotide long non-coding RNA. RefSeq lists it as uncharacterized. The record is from RefSeq and is a predicted model, not a curated record. The transcript is spliced from 3 exons. Lineage: Eukaryota; Metazoa; Chordata; Actinopteri; Salmoniformes; Salmonidae.